CUAGGAAAAAGGAUGCAAGUAUCUUAUCUAAAGCGAGUUCGGGGUAGUUAGAGCCGAAUGGUAGGACUGCAGAUUGGCGCUUCCGUUUGGGCAGUGUGAUUAAGUAUAUUUGUCAAUAUUGCCCAAAAAGAUACUAUAUAAAU
Molecule: small RNA, 143 nt
Organism: Streptococcus pyogenes M1 GAS
Lineage: Bacteria; Bacillati; Bacillota; Bacilli; Lactobacillales; Streptococcaceae
Rfam family: S. pyogenes small RNA Spy491311c
Source: Rfam